GGAUGAAGGGAACUAAAAAAAAUCUUUUUUUAUUAAUUUAUUUAAAUUUUACCUUUUAGUAAAAAGGCUAAAAUAUCUUUUUUAGACAAGAAGACCCUAUAAAUCUUUACAUUAUUUUUAUAUAAAAUUAAAAUAAAUGUUAAACUGGGGCGGUUAGAGAUAAUUAAACAUUUCUAAAAAAUAAGAAUUAAAAUUUUUAUAUCCAAAAAUUUUGAAAAUUAAUAAGAUACUUUAGGGAUAACAGCGUAAUUUAUUUUUAGAGUUCUUAUCGACAAAUAAGCUUGCGACCUCGAUGUUGAAUUAAAAUUUCUUUAUUAUGAAAAAGAAAUAAUAGAAGGUCUGUUCGACCUUAAAAAUUUUCCA
RNAcentral lists this ribosomal RNA (363 nucleotides) under Ananteris balzani. RNAcentral's name for it is "partial 16S ribosomal RNA". The stretch from base 237 to 363 matches the Rfam family "Bacterial large subunit ribosomal RNA", at positions 2473 to 2600 of the family's 2925-position model. The record is from RNAcentral. Lineage: Eukaryota; Metazoa; Arthropoda; Arachnida; Scorpiones; Ananteridae.